CACGGGGGCUUCGGCUCGAGUGGCGGACGGGUGAGUAACGCGUAGGAACGUGUCUUGGGGUGGGGGAUAACGCUGGGAAACUGGCGCUAAUACCGCAUGUCUGCUGCGGCAGAAAGCCUUCGGGUGCCUUGAGAGCGGCCUGCGUCCGAUUAGCUAGUUGGUGGGGUAAAGGCUUACCAAGGCGACGAUCGGUAGCUGGUCUGAGAGGACGAUCAGCCACACUGGGACUGAGACACGGCCCAGACUCCUACGGGAGGCAGCAGUGGGGAAUAUUGGACAAUGGGCGGAAGCCUGAUCCAGCAAUUCCGCGUGGGUGAAGAAGGUCUUCGGAUUGUAAAGCCCUUUCGGCAGGGACGAUGAUGACGGUACCUGCAGAAGAAGCCCCGGCUAACUUCGUGCCAGCAGCCGCGGUAAUACGAAGGGGGCUAGCGUUGCUCGGAAUUACUGGGCGUAAAGGGCGCGUAG
This 465-nucleotide ribosomal RNA is filed under the name uncultured Belnapia sp. RNAcentral describes it as "bacterial SSU rRNA". It matches the Rfam family "Bacterial small subunit ribosomal RNA", at positions 65 to 574 of the family's 1533-position model. The record is from RNAcentral. Lineage: Bacteria; Pseudomonadati; Pseudomonadota; Alphaproteobacteria; Acetobacterales; Roseomonadaceae.